GACAGAGGGUGCGAACGUUGCUCGGAAUUACUGGGCGUAAAGCGCGUGUAGGCGGUGCCGCACGUCCGAUGUGAAAGCCCGGGGCUCAACCCCGGAAGGGCAUUGGAAACGACGGCGCUGGAGUCCUGAAGAGGAGGGCGGAAUUCCCGGUGUAGAGGUGAAAUUCGUAGAUAUCAGGAGGAACACCAGUGGCGAAGGCGGCCCUCUGGACAGGCACUGACGCUGAGACGCGAAAGCGUGGGUAGCAAACAGG
RNAcentral lists this ribosomal RNA (253 nucleotides) under uncultured bacterium. Its description in RNAcentral is "partial 16S ribosomal RNA". It matches the Rfam family "Bacterial small subunit ribosomal RNA", at positions 524 to 776 of the family's 1533-position model. The record is from RNAcentral.